UCUGUCCUCCCUCUUUCCCUGUUCUCCCUUACCCUUUCUCUUGCUGUCUCAUACCCCCUCUCCCUUCACAUACCUUUCUCUCUGUCAUCUGUCUCUCUCCGCAUCCUCCCUCAUUCCCUACCGCACUCACUCUCUUCCUAAUCUGCCUGUCUCCCAGAAGGUCUGAAAUCCACCUACUCAGAGCUGAACGUUCGGAAAAAGAAACCCCGCGUCGAUGAGGACGAAGAUCCUCCCAUUUCUCGGGACCCGGCGGGUUGUCAACCGCUGCACAAACAGCUGCGCAAGAACGGGAGUCUAAAGUGAAAACCGGAAAUAGACCGUACCGUCUUAUCUGCCUCCUCUGCCUGAUUACGUCCGCCUUCAUCGUGACAGUGGCCGCUCUCUCGAUCCGUGUAUCACAGAUUCGUCAGUCAAAGAUCACCUCCGACAGAAACUACCAUAAGUUAAACUCAACCCUUCAAUACAAGCUUUCUGCGCUCAACUCUGAUCUGUCUGAUCUUAAACGAAUGCACAGCGAUCUCCG
This is a long non-coding RNA of Hypanus sabinus (Atlantic stingray), 523 nucleotides long. RefSeq lists it as uncharacterized. The record is from RefSeq and is a predicted model, not a curated record. NCBI's taxonomy places the organism in Eukaryota, Metazoa, Chordata, Chondrichthyes, Myliobatiformes, Dasyatidae. The transcript has 3 exons.